GUCUUCUACAGUGCUACCCUGAAUCCCUGAUCCAGGAAGCUAAGCAGAUUGAGUCUGGUUAGUACUUGGAUAAGAGACUAUUUAGGAAUACCAGGUGCUGGAGGCU
This 106-nucleotide ribosomal RNA is filed under the name Microtus ochrogaster (prairie vole). Lineage: Eukaryota; Metazoa; Chordata; Mammalia; Rodentia; Cricetidae. The record is from RNAcentral.